AGAUUGAACGCUGGCGGCAUGCCUUACACAUGCAAGUCGAACGGCAGCACGGGGGCAACCCUGGUGGCGAGUGGCGAACGGGUGAGUAACAUAUCGGAACGUGCCCUGGAGUGGGGGAUAACGUAGUCGAAAGACUAGCUAAUACCGCAUACGAUCUACGGAUGAAAGUGGGGGAUCGCAAGACCUCAUGCUCGUGGAGCGGCCGAUAUCUGAUUAGCUAGUUGGUGGGUAAAGGCCUACCAAGGUCAUCGAUCAGUAGCUGGUCUGAGAGGACGACCAGCCACACUGGGACUGAGACACGGCCCAGACUCCUACGGGAGGCAGCAGUCGGGGAAUUUUGGACAAGUGGGGGCAACCCGUGACGUCCAGCAAUGCCGCGUCGAGUGAAGAAGCCGUUCGGUGUAAGCUCUUUGUC
RNAcentral lists this ribosomal RNA (415 nucleotides) under uncultured soil bacterium. Its description in RNAcentral is "bacterial SSU rRNA". It matches the Rfam family "Bacterial small subunit ribosomal RNA", at positions 26 to 439 of the family's 1533-position model. The record is from RNAcentral.